Molecule: long non-coding RNA, 361 nt
Organism: Anneissia japonica
Lineage: Eukaryota; Metazoa; Echinodermata; Crinoidea; Comatulida; Comatulidae
Exons: 3
Source: RefSeq, a predicted model, not a curated record
GACUUUUUAAGAUCACAAGAUCACAAAUACAGCCCAACAUCCAUUCCAUCUAUUUCAACAAGAGGAAAUAAAGCUGGCAGCAGCCGAAGUGAAAGCAGCUCACUUUCAAUGGUUGAUGGUUCCUGAUGGAUUGCAAGAGGAUUGUGUUGCACAAUGCAAAAAAAUUUCAACACAUUCCAUUUUAGAGAGGAAUUUGACCACCAUAGCAUAGAGUACAUCUGGGCAAGUAUACUAAAAGAUGAGAAGAAGAAAAUGAUGAGGCUGUAAUGUACAGUAGCAACGGUUGUUUUAAUUUUUUCUACUAAGUCCUUUGAGCACUAUAUUUUACCAAUAUUACAGAAAUUUUUGUAUAUAUCUUGCA